Long non-coding RNA from Pseudophryne corroboree (corroboree frog), 532 nucleotides. RefSeq lists it as uncharacterized. Lineage: Eukaryota; Metazoa; Chordata; Amphibia; Anura; Myobatrachidae. The transcript has 2 exons. The record is from RefSeq and is a predicted model, not a curated record.
UAGGUAUAAUAUUGUCUGUAACUGCAUAUCAGAAGAUGAGUUCAGCCCUUUCUUCCAGACCUGCCUCUACUCUACAGAUGCAGCCUAAAGCUGGCCAUACACCUUAAGAUUAUCUGGCAAUCAACCAACUAACCAACCAACCAACCAACCAACCAACCAACCAACCAACCAACCAACCAACCAACCAACUCACUGGUUGGAUUGAAAAUAUGACCCUCAUCGUGGAACAUCUUAAAGGGGAACCCCGCCUCCCCAUGCUGGAAGUCAGGGUUGCCCAGAAACCGUAGAAACAAUGAGUUGUGUCUCCCUAAGUUUCCGGAUCUUCUCAAGGAGUGCCAAAGGCGAUAAACCGACCAUAGAAGGGGAUUAUCUUGUAGAUCCUGAUCGCAGUCCGCCUCCAGACAGUGGAGGAAGUUUGUCAAGUUUUUAGAUUUUAGGAAUUGUGUCUCAAGCUGUGUAUUUGCAUACGUGUCUGUGUCGUUUAACCAAUCUCUCAAAAACCUCAAUAAAGAUGCGUAGUUAUAAAUCAAAA